This 1159-nucleotide ribosomal RNA is filed under the name Sphingobacterium sp. 179B4_12AVRE. RNAcentral describes it as "bacterial SSU rRNA". It matches the Rfam family "Bacterial small subunit ribosomal RNA", at positions 57 to 1216 of the family's 1533-position model. The record is from RNAcentral. Lineage: Bacteria; Pseudomonadati; Bacteroidota; Sphingobacteriia; Sphingobacteriales; Sphingobacteriaceae.
GCAAGUCGAACGAGAUUAUCCAGCUUGCUGGAUAUGAAAGUGGCGCACGGGUGCGUAACGCGUGAGCAACCUACCUCUGUCAGGGGGAUAGCCCGGCGAAAGUCGGAUUAACACCGCAUGACAUUAUUGAUGUGGCAUCACAUUAUAAUCAAAUAUUUAUAGGACAGAGAUGGGCUCGCGUGACAUUAGCUAGUUGGAGAGGUAACGGCUCACCAAGGCAACGAUGUCUAGGGGCUCUGAGAGGAGAAUCCCCCACACUGGUACUGAGACACGGACCAGACUCCUACGGGAGGCAGCAGUAAGGAAUAUUGGUCAAUGGAGGGAACUCUGAACCAGCCAUGCCGCGUGCAGGAUGACUGCCCUAUGGGUUGUAAACUGCUUUUGUCGGGGAAUAAACCUACGUUUGUAAACGUAGCUGAAUGUACCCGAAGAAUAAGGAUCGGCUAACUCCGUGCCAGCAGCCGCGGUAAUACGGAGGAUCCAAGCGUUAUCCGGAUUUAUUGGGUUUAAAGGGUGCGUAGGCGGUUCUUUAAGUCAGAGGUGAAAGACGGCAGCUUAACUGUCGCAGUGCCUUUGAUACUGAAGAACUUGAAUUAGGUUGAGGAAUGCGGAAUGAGACAAGUAGCGGUGAAAUGCAUAGAUAUGUCUCAGAACCCCGAUUGCGAAGGCAGCAUUCCAAGCCUUUAUUGACGCUGAUGCACGAAAGCGUGGGGAUCGAACAGGAUUAGAUACCCUGGUAGUCCACGCCCUAAACGAUGAUAACUCGAUGUUGGCGAUAGACAGUCAGCGUCCCAGCGAAAGCGUUAAGUUAUCCACCUGGGGAGUACGCCCGCAAGGGUGAAACUCAAAGGAAUUGACGGGGGCCCGCACAAGCGGAGGAGCAUGUGGUUUAAUUCGAUGAUACGCGAGGAACCUUACCCGGGCUUGAAAGUUAGUGAAUGAUCCAGAGACGGAUCAGUCCUUCGGGACACGAAACUAGGUGCUGCAUGGCUGUCGUCAGCUCGUGCCGUGAGGUGUUGGGUUAAGUCCCGCAACGAGCGCAACCCCUAUGUUUAGUUGCCAGCAUGUAAUGAUGGGGACUCUAAACAGACUGCCUGCCCAAGCAGAGAAGGAAGGUGGGGACGACGUCAAGUCAUCAUGGCCCUUACGUCCGGGGCUA